ACUCCUACGGGAGGCAGCAGUGAGGAAUAUUGGACAAUGGGUGGAAGCCUGAUCCAGCCAUCCCGCGUGCAGGAAGACGGCCCUAUGGGUUGUAAACUGCUUUUAUCUGGGGAUAAACCUACUUACGUGUAAGUAGCUGAAGGUACCAGAAGAAUAAGCACCGGCUAACUCCGUGCCAGCAGCCGCGGUAAUACGGAGGGUGCAAGCGUUAUCCGGAUUUAUUGGGUUUAAAGGGUCCGUAGGCGGACUGAUAAGUCAGUGGUGAAAUCCGACAGCUUAACUGUCGAACUGCCAUUGAUACUGUUAGUCUUGAGUAAGGUUGAAGUGGCUGGAAUAAGUAGUGUAGCGGUGAAAUGCAUAGAUAUUACUUAGAACACCAAUUGCGAAGGCAGGUCACUAAGUCUUAACUGACGCUGAUGGACGAAAGCGUGGGGAGCGAACAGGAUUAGAAAUCCCAGUAGUCCCAUG
RNAcentral lists this ribosomal RNA (468 nucleotides) under uncultured organism. Its description in RNAcentral is "partial 16S ribosomal RNA". It matches the Rfam family "Bacterial small subunit ribosomal RNA", at positions 335 to 799 of the family's 1533-position model. The record is from RNAcentral.